AACGAACGCUGGCGGCGCGCCUAAUACAUGCAAGUCGAGCGAGAAGACGUAGCAAUACGUUUGUAAAGCGGCGAACGGGUGAGGAAUACAUGGGUAACCUACCCUCGAGUGGGGAAUAACUAGCCGAAAGGUUAGCUAAUACCGCGUACGCUCCUUGGACUUCGGUUCAGGGAGGAAAGCGAUACCGUGGGUAUCGCGCUCUUGGAUGGGCUCAUGUCCUAUCAGCUUGUUGGUGAGGUAACGGCUCACCAAGGCUUCGACGGGUAGCUGGUCUGAGAGGACAAUCAGCCACACUGGCACUGCGACACGGGCCAGACUCCUACGGGAGGCAGCAGUAAGGAAUAUUGCGC
Molecule: ribosomal RNA, 350 nt
Filed under: uncultured bacterium
Lineage: Bacteria
Description: bacterial SSU rRNA
Rfam family: Bacterial small subunit ribosomal RNA
Source: RNAcentral